UCCUUUUUUUCUUCUAUAUUUUCCAAACACAGAAUACGUAUAUAUAAUUUUAAAAGGAAUAAUUGCCUGUAUACCCCUCAUACGUUUGAAAAUAUUCAAUUUACCCCUACUUUUUUUUCUUUCUAAAAUACCCCUCAUAUGUUCCACCGUUAUUGCAAAAUACCCCCGCUGUUAUCUCCUGUUAAGUUAACUUGGGUUAAACGUGAGUUAAAUAUCUACCAGAGUUAAAAAAAAAUUAAAAUACCAAUUUUGCCCUUAACUUAAGGGCAAAUAAGAAAUGUUGGUGAUGGUAGAGGGGUAUAUUGGAAAAGACCAAAAGUCAAAAUACUUUUUGUGCCCUUGACUUUAAGGGCAAAUAAGAAAGUCAGUGAUAGUGGAAGGGUAUAUUUGAAAGGGCAAAAUAGUAAUUUUACAGAGAUAACAGAGUUAAUUAACAGAUUUUAACUCUAAGGAUAUAUUAGAAAUCGGUUGGAAUGUAGAAAGGGUAUUUGCAAUAUUAGCCUUCUAAGAGGGGUAAAUCGGAAAGUCAGAAACUUUUUAGGGGUAUAUAAGCAAUUGCCCUAUUUUAAAAAUACCAUAACAUAAUCUAUUAUAUAAUAUACUACAACAUAUAAUAAAUAUUAUAGUCUUAAAACGACAUCAAGAAACUUA
RNAcentral lists this long non-coding RNA (651 nucleotides) under Ananas comosus (pineapple). Its description in RNAcentral is "long non-coding RNA (ACOM_LNC007301)". Lineage: Eukaryota; Viridiplantae; Streptophyta; Magnoliopsida; Poales; Bromeliaceae. The record is from RNAcentral.